Molecule: non-coding RNA, 701 nt
Organism: Micropterus salmoides (largemouth bass)
Lineage: Eukaryota; Metazoa; Chordata; Actinopteri; Centrarchiformes; Centrarchidae
Source: the annotation of a RefSeq genome assembly
AUGUGGGAAACGUUCGGUGGAGGAACCAGACUGGAUGUUGGAAGUGAUGUCCGUCCCACCCUGACGGUGCUGCCCCCCUCCAGUGAGGAGCUGCAGCAGGGGAAGGCCACGCUCAUGUGCCUGGCCAACAAGGGCUUCCCCUCAGACUGGAGUCUGGCCUGGAAGGUGGACGGCAGCAGCAGCAGCAGCAGCUGGGAGGAGAGCAGGAGCCCCGGGGUGCUGGAGAAGGACGGCCGCUACAGCUGGAGCAGCACCCUGAGGCUCCCUGCAGACCAGUGGAGGAAGGUGGGCUCUGUGACCUGUGAGGCCACCCAGGGCUCCCAGGCUCUGGUCUCAGAGACACUGAGGAGAGACCAGUGUUCCCAGUCCUGACCUGACUCACUGGGACUCUGCUACUGGUUUUACUCUGCUCUCUGAACUCUGUAACUCUCUCUGUGUCUGUGUCUCUUUCUUUCCUUAAGUCAUUCUCUAAUCACAUGUUUCAUGGUUAAAGUUUGUUUACUGGAUUUAAUUUGGAUUAUUUCAACACAAUAAAGACCAGUUCAUUCAAAUCUGUUGUUUUCUGUUAUAGUGACUGUACUCUGUUACUCAUAUCAGAUCAUAUUAACAAUAUUCAACUUUAAGUAGUGAAGCUUCAUUGAUGUAAUAAUGCUCAUGCUGUUAACACUGUAAGAAAAUAAAAAAAGUUAUUUCAAAUUAAA